AUUGAACGCUGGCGGCAUGCCUUACACAUGCAAGUCGAACGGUAACAGGUUAAGCUGACGAGUGGCGAACGGGUGAGUAAUGUAUCGGAACGUGCCCAGUCGUGGGGGAUAACUGCUCGAAAGAGCAGCUAAUACCGCAUACGACCUGAGGGUGAAAGCGGGGGCUCGCAAGACCUCGCGCGAUUGGAGCGGCCGAUAUCAGACUAGGUAGUUGGUGAGUUAAAGGCUCACCAGGCCGACGAUCUGUAGCUGGCCUGAGAGGACGACCAGCCACACUGGGACUGAGACACGGCCCAGACUCCUACGAGAGGCAGCAGUGGGGAAUUUUGGACAAUGGGCGCAAGCCUGAUCCAGCCAUGCCGCGUGCGGGAAGAAGGCGUUCGGGUUGUAAACCGCUUUUGUCAGGGAAGAAAAGGUUCUGGCUAAUACCUGGGGCUCAUGACGGUACCUGAAGAAUAAGCACCGGCUAACUACGUG
RNAcentral lists this ribosomal RNA (477 nucleotides) under uncultured bacterium. RNAcentral's name for it is "partial 16S ribosomal RNA". It matches the Rfam family "Bacterial small subunit ribosomal RNA", at positions 30 to 507 of the family's 1533-position model. The record is from RNAcentral.